CCUACGGGCGGCUGCAGUGGGGGAUAUUGCACAAUGGGGGGAACCCUGAUGCAGCGACGCCGCGUGGGUGAAGAAGCGCCUCGGCGCGUAAAGCCCUGUCAGCAGGGAAGAAAAUGACGGUACCUGAAGAAGAAGCACCGGCUAACUACGUGCCAGCAGCCGCGGUAAUACGUAGGGGGCAAGCGUUAUCCGGAUUUACUGGGUGUAACGGGGGCGCAGACGGCGAUGCAAGCCAGGAGUGAAAGCCCGGGGCUUAACCCCGGGACUGCUCUUGGAACUGCGUGGCUGGAGUGCAGGAGGGGCAGGCGGAAUUCCUGGUGUAGCGGUGAAAUGCGUAGAUAUGAGGAGGAACACCGGUGGCGAAGGCGGCCUGCUGGACUGCAACUGACGUUGAGGCCCGAAAGCGUGGGGAGCAAACAGGAUUAGAUACCCCUGUAGUC
Molecule: ribosomal RNA, 440 nt
Filed under: uncultured bacterium
Lineage: Bacteria
Description: partial 16S ribosomal RNA
Rfam family: Bacterial small subunit ribosomal RNA
Source: RNAcentral